Molecule: ribosomal RNA, 253 nt
Filed under: uncultured bacterium
Lineage: Bacteria
Description: partial 16S ribosomal RNA
Rfam family: Bacterial small subunit ribosomal RNA
Source: RNAcentral
UACAGAGGUCCCAAGCGUUGUUCGGAUUCACUGGGCGUAAAGGGUGCGUAGGUGGCGGAGUAAGUCGGAUGUGAAAUCUCCGAGCUCAACUCGGAAACUGCAUUGGAAACUACUCUGCUCGAGGGUUGGAGGGGGGACUGGAAUACUUGGUGUAGCAGUGAAAUGCGUAGAUAUCAAGUGGAACACCAGUGGCGAAGGCGAGUCCCUGGACAACUCCUGACACUGAGGCACGAAAGCUAGGGGAGCAAACAGG